GAUGAACGCUGGCGGCGUGCCUAAUACAUGCCAGUCGAGCGAACAGACGAGGAGCUUGCUCCUUUGACGUUAGCGGCGGACGGGUGAGUAACACGUAGGUAACCUACCUAUAAGACUGGGAUAACUUCGGGAAACCGGAGCUAAUACCGGAUAAUAUUUCGAACCGCAUGGUUCGAUAGUGAAAGAUGGCUUUGCUAUCACUUAUAGAUGGACCUGCGCCGUAUUAGCUAGUUGGUAAGGUAACGGCUUACCAAGGCAACGAUACGUAGCCGACCUGAGAGGGUGAUCGGCCACACUGGAACUGAGACACGGUCCAGACUCCUACGGGAGGCAGCAGUAGGGAAUCUUCCGCAAUGGGCGAAAGCCUGACGGAGCAACGCCGCGUGAGUGAUGAAGGUUUUCGGAUCGUAAAACUCUGUUAUUAGGGAAGAACAAACGUGUAAGUAACUGUGCACGUCUUGACGGUACCUAAUCAGAAAGCCACGGCUAACUACGUG
This 497-nucleotide ribosomal RNA is filed under the name uncultured bacterium. Its description in RNAcentral is "partial 16S ribosomal RNA". It matches the Rfam family "Bacterial small subunit ribosomal RNA", at positions 28 to 507 of the family's 1533-position model. The record is from RNAcentral.